This 44-nucleotide non-coding RNA is filed under the name Paramuricea clavata. Lineage: Eukaryota; Metazoa; Cnidaria; Anthozoa; Malacalcyonacea; Plexauridae. The record is from RNAcentral.
ACUGCGCUGACGAGUCCCAAAAGGGCGAAACAGCUGUCCGUAGU